Molecule: unclassified non-coding RNA, 346 nt
Filed under: soil metagenome
Description: partial contains 5.8S ribosomal RNA, internal transcribed spacer 2, and large subunit ribosomal RNA
Rfam family: 5.8S ribosomal RNA (bases 1-121)
Source: RNAcentral
GAUGAAGAACGUAGUGAAAUGCGAUAAGUAAUGCGAAUUGCAGAAUUUCCGUGAGUCAUCGAAUCUUUGAACGCACAUUGCGCCCACUGGUAUUCCGGUGGGCAUGCCUGUUCGAGCGUCAUUAUCCUCCCUCAAACCCCGGGUUUGGUGUUGGACCGAAGUUGUGUGAACAACUGGUCUAAAAGACAAUGACGGCGUCCGUGGGACCCUCGGUGCAACGAGCUUUCACAAGCACGCAUUGAGUUGCAAGGACCCUGCGGGCCGGUCUACUGUAACAUUUUCUUAAAGUUGACCUCGGAUCAGGUAGGAAUACCCGCUGAACUUAAGCAUAUCAAUAAGCGGAGGA